AGAGUUUGAUCCUGGCUCAGAUUGAACGCUGGCGGCAUGCCUUACACAUGCAAGUCGAACGGCAGCGCGGACUUCGGUCUGGCGGCGAGUGGCGAACGGGUGAGUAAUGCAUCGGAACGUACCUUUCAGUGGGGGAUAACGUAGCGAAAGUUACGCUAAUACCGCAUAUUCUGUGAGCAGGAAAGCAGGGGAUCGCAAGACCUUGCGCUGAUGGAGCGGCCGAUGUCAGAUUAGCUAGUUGGUGGGGUAAAGGCUCACCAAGGCGACGGUCUGUAGCGGGUCUUAGAGGAUGAUCCGCCACACUGGAACUGAGACACGGUCCAGACUCCUACGGGAGGCAGCAGUGGGGAAUUUUGGACAAUGGGCGCAAGCCUGAUCCAGCCAUGCCGCGUGAGUGAAGAAGGCCUUCGGGUUGUAAAGCUCUUUCGGCCGGGAAAAAAUCGCUUGGGUUAAUACCCUGAGUGGAUGAUGGUACCGGAAUAAGAAGCACCGGCUAACUACGUGCCAGCAGCCGCGGUAAUACGUAGGGUGCGAGCGUUAAUCGGAAUUACUGGGCGUAAAGCGUGCGCAGGCGGUUUUGUAAGACAGGCGUGAAAUCCCCGGGCUCAACCUGGGAACUGCGUUUGUGACUGCAAGGCUAGAGUAUGGCAGAGGGGGGUGGAAUUCCACGUGUAGCAGUGAAAUGCGUAGAGAUGUGGAGGAACACCAAUGGCGAAGGCAGCCCCCUGGGCCAAUACUGACGCUCAUGCACGAAAGCGUGGGGAGCAAACAGGAUUAGAUACCCUGGUAGUCCACGCCCUAAACGAUGUCAACUAGGUGUUGGGUGGGUAAAACCAUUUGGUACCGUAGCUAACGCGUGAAGUUGACCGCCUGGGGAGUACGGCCGCAAGGUUAAAACUCAAAGGAAUUGACGG
Molecule: ribosomal RNA, 914 nt
Filed under: uncultured bacterium
Lineage: Bacteria
Description: bacterial SSU rRNA
Rfam family: Bacterial small subunit ribosomal RNA
Source: RNAcentral